RNAcentral lists this ribosomal RNA (705 nucleotides) under Xanthomonas citri pv. citri. Its description in RNAcentral is "partial 23S ribosomal RNA". It matches the Rfam family "Bacterial large subunit ribosomal RNA", at positions 412 to 1118 of the family's 2925-position model. Lineage: Bacteria; Pseudomonadati; Pseudomonadota; Gammaproteobacteria; Lysobacterales; Lysobacteraceae. The record is from RNAcentral.
GUACGGCGGAACACGUGAAAUUCCGUCGGAAUCCGGGAGGACCAUCUCCCAAGGCUAAAUACUCCCUAGUGACCGAUAGUGAACCAGUACCGUGAGGGAAAGGUGAAAAGCACCCCGGAAGGGGAGUGAAAGAGAUCCUGAAACCGUGUGCCUACAAGUAGUCAGAGCCCGUUAACGGGUGAUGGCGUGCCUUUUGUAGAAUGAACCGGCGAGUUACGAUCCCGUGCAAGGUUAAGCAGAAGAUGCGGAGCCGCAGCGAAAGCGAGUCUGAAUAGGGCGCAUGAGUACGUGGUCGUAGACCCGAAACCAGGUGAUCUACCCAUGUCCAGGGUGAAGUUCAGGUAACACUGAAUGGAGGCCCGAACCCACGCACGUUGAAAAGUGCGGGGAUGAGGUGUGGGUAGGGGUGAAAUGCCAAUCGAACCUGGAGAUAGCUGGUUCUCUCCGAAAUAGCUUUAGGGCUAGCCUCAAGGUAAGAGUCUUGGAGGUAGAGCACUGAUUGGACUAGGGGCCCCUACCGGGUUACCGAAUUCAGUCAAACUCCGAAUGCCAAUGACUUAUCCUUGGGAGUCAGACUGCGAGUGAUAAGAUCCGUAGUCGAAAGGGAAACAGCCCAGACCGCCAGCUAAGGUCCCAAAGUAUACGUUAAGUGGAAAAGGAUGUGGAGUUGCUUAGACAACCAGGAUGUUGGCUUAGAAGCAGCCA